GGCGGCCAUGUGCCGGCUGGCAUGCACCGGCUGCAGGCCGGUGCGGUAGCCGGAGGCCAGUUCCGGUGGUGCGGGCAGCACCUGGUCGGCAC
Molecule: transfer RNA, 92 nt
Filed under: Pseudomonas putida
Lineage: Bacteria; Pseudomonadati; Pseudomonadota; Gammaproteobacteria; Pseudomonadales; Pseudomonadaceae
Description: tRNA-Cys
Source: RNAcentral